Molecule: RNA transcript, 2127 nt
Organism: Magnolia sinica
Lineage: Eukaryota; Viridiplantae; Streptophyta; Magnoliopsida; Magnoliales; Magnoliaceae
Gene name: phosphatidylinositol:ceramide inositolphosphotransferase 1-like
Exons: 13
Source: RefSeq, a predicted model, not a curated record
CUCUCUUUUCCUCGCUCUUCCUUCUCCUUUCAUCCUAAUUUCAACUGCCCGACGAUCCGUGUCUAACCCGCGUCUUCUCAGCGGAAGAAAAGACGAGCGCGGAAGCGUAUAAAUAGAAACCCCAAAUCGGGCAAUCCUCUGCUCCGAUCGCGUUUUUCUCACAGGUUUCAGCAUCGGAACACCUUCUCCCGGGCGAAUCCUCGCUUUCAGUCGUCGAAAAUCGGUGUAAGGAUCGCUUUCCAGAGAUUUCGAUCCCGAUCGUGGAACCGAUCGCGUGUGGCGGUCUGAUCGAUUAUAUUAUUGGUUUUGGAGGUGACUGUAACGAAGUUUAGCAAUUUGAAGUGGACAAGCUCCUGUUCGGAGGCGAUUGGCGGAUUCGAUCGGAAAAGAGCGGUUUCCGACGAGUCGGAUGCAUUUGGGAUGGGAUUCUGUCGGAAUAUGUUGAAUCGAAUCACUGGAUAGAUCGAAAUGCCGUUUUACAUUGCUCGCGAGGGUUCGAAGCUAUGGAGGAGGGUUUCAAUGGAGACGUUGGUGGAGUUGCAUCUCCUUGCAGAGAAAUGGAAACUUCUUCUGGCGGGAUUGAUUUUCCAGUAUAUUCAUGGAUUAGCUGCUCGAGGAGUUCACUAUUUACAUCAACCUGGACCAACACUUCAGGAUGUUGGGUUUAUCAUUCUCCCGGAGCUCGGACAAGACAAAGCUUACAUCAGUGAGACCAUAUUCACCUUAGUCUUCAUCUCUUUUGUCUUGUGGACUUUUCAUCCCUUCAUUUUUCAAAGCAAAAAAUUCUACACGGUUCUGCUCUGGUGCAGGGUUCUGGCAUUUCUAGUUGCUUCGCAAAUUCUUCGAAUCAUUACCUUUUAUUCUACUCAGCUUCCUGGUCCGAACUACCACUGUCGUGAGGGUUCUAAACUUGCCAGACUCCCUCGUCCAGACAGUGCACUGGAAGUACUUCUAAUUAAUUUUCCUCGGGGUGUAAUAUAUGGUUGUGGUGACUUGAUUUUUUCAUCGCACAUGAUCUUUACUCUUGUUUUCGUGCUCACAUAUCAGAAGUAUGGCUCAACAAGGUGUAUUAAACAGCUUUCUUGGUUCAUUGCUGUUAUUCUCAGCCUCCUGAUUAUAGCUUCCCGCAAACAUUACACUGUUGACAUUGUUGUUGCAUGGUAUACAGUGAACUUAGUGUUUUUCUUCAUCGACAAGAAACUACCAGAACUGCCUGACCGUACCAUUGGGAUCCAGUCUCCUUUGUUGCCUUUGAGCACAAAAGAUAAAGAUGCCAAAUCCAAAGAAGAACAUCACAAGCUGUUGAAUGGGAACUCUGGGGAUGCUGCUGAUUGGAGACAGAGAACACAAGUCAACGGAAAGCUUCUAGAGGAUGGGAACACUGUCCAUGCUGAUACGCAGAUGAAUGGUAAAUAGCUGAUGCAGAUCCUGAUGUAGCACUUAGAGCCCAUGCGAAAACUUCCCCGGCCAUUGCUCCAUUGCAAUUUGUAUUUUCAGAGGGAAUUAGAUUUCACCUUCUGUCAAUUACAGUCCUGCUCUUAUCAUAGCGUCAUCCCAUUGUCACAUGUAUCAUGGAGCAGUUCUGUCGGACUCUCUAUAACAAUUUUCACCACGCAGUCAGUCACAUGAAAAAUACAUCUCUGUAGAGAAGAAAGGCUCCCAAGGAGCCAACAUGCUUUCAGCGCUUUAAAACAUUCAAGAGCGUGAAAAUCCACUCGGUUCAUCGUACUGGAGCAAAAAAUCAGCCAGGUCCACUUGUUAUGUAGGAUAUAUCACAGCCAACAAUGGGGAUGGGAUCUCAACCACAGGUUUUUAUAUUAGGGCCACCAAGUUGUGUAUCUUUCAUAAAUUUAUAGUAGGGCCACCAAAUUGUGUAUCUUUCAUAAAACCCUGUAAUUGGGUGUACACUCACUGUACGGGGAGAAUAUGCAAAAAUCAGCCUAAUCCAUUACUCAGGUGGGCCACAACAUGUGAAUUUUGGGUUUAUUUGGGUACUAUCAAAAUUUUGUUUGGAUAGAACUUUUUGAACACCUUUGUUCAAGUAAGAGUGUUCGAACAAGCUUGUAUGAAUGGAUUAUUUUGUUGAAUUAUUUAUUGUCUGUCAAACGCUCUACUUAGAUGAGCAUA